GCGACAAUUCGUCGUCUAAGAUUUUGACUCGUUUUGUUAUUGAGACCGAAUUUGUAUAAUCUGGUGACAAUGCUGCGACAAAUCCUUUUGCAAAGUGCUAGGGACCAAAAUAAUAUACUUCAGCGAUUUACUUUGCAGAGGAAUUCACAGUAGAAACAAGAAGGCGAAGGAGUACAUAGCCAAAUGUUGGAAUUCUUUGAAGGAAAUUGAUAGAGUAAGGGAUUAUUGGGACUACAAUGACGUAAAGUUGAUUCCUUUCUUACGGAUGGGCUGUUUUAUUGGUUGAAGCUACAUCAUGGGUAGAGUUGAUAAUAAAUAUGUUCAGUCGGAUCAUCAAGCAUUCUAUUAUUUGGAGAAGGCUAUUGAUAAGUAUUGAGUAUUAAUGACAGUAUUGAUGACUGGCUGUAGUAUCUAAAGCUCUAUUUUUGGAUUUAAUUCAUUCCAGGAUCCAAGAUGAAGCUGGUGUCCAAGAAGAAGAUUAGUGGAUGACAACCAUUGUAGUUUUGUUCAAAAAUUAUUUUUUUUUG
This is a long non-coding RNA of Impatiens glandulifera, 527 nucleotides long. RefSeq lists it as uncharacterized. The record is from RefSeq and is a predicted model, not a curated record. The transcript is spliced from 6 exons. NCBI's taxonomy places the organism in Eukaryota, Viridiplantae, Streptophyta, Magnoliopsida, Ericales, Balsaminaceae.